This 778-nucleotide long non-coding RNA is filed under the name Elaeis guineensis (African oil palm). RNAcentral describes it as "long non-coding RNA (EGUI_LNC021334)". The record is from RNAcentral. Lineage: Eukaryota; Viridiplantae; Streptophyta; Magnoliopsida; Arecales; Arecaceae.
CGGCGGUCCGUGGUGGGCCGACGGAGCAACGGUGGUGCAGCCGCAUGCGGCAGCAUGUGGCCCGACCGUGGGAGCGCGUCUCAAGCCCGAGUGCUAGUGUGGAGGCAUAGCCUAGGCCCAGGCGCGCGCAUGCGGGCGUGGCCCAGGUCCACGCGCACGCACGCAGGGAUCAGGAGCUUGGGUAUCCCAGUCCAUGGUGGAUCGGGUGGUGCACAAGCGAGCAUAUGGACUGCAAGACUGUUUCCCCUCGAUUUCUCACGGUCCAUCAUGGAUUGGGCGACGUUUCUCCUUAGUUUCUUGCGGUCUACAGGUUAUUCUGUGGACCGAAGGCGCGAUCGGAUGGUGGUUUGAUCUCCCGAUGAUGAUCCAACGGCUGAAAAUUUUUUACGAUUCAUUUUGGGCAUGAUCCAGUGCCGUUUGAUGAAGAUCUGAUGGCCGUGAAGCUUCACAGGUCCCAUUAGAAGUUGGAUUCCGAUGUACCUUGGGUUUUAAGCCUUUAUAAGGCCCUGUUCACAAACAGAGGUGGUGUCUGGUGAUUUCGUUCGACAGAACACCCGAGAACAGAGGUGACGAGGCGUCGAGAGGAGCAGGAGUAGGACUUCACGUAGAUUAUUGGAUAGCGGAUAUCGAUCGCUUCAGAGGUUUAAGAGGAUCUUUUUAGAGAGAGUUUUUGUGAGGGAGAGCUUCAUAUGAUGGAGAGAUUUGAUGUACAAGGGUUGAGUGUGUGAUCUCUUCUUGUAAUGUUUCUUUUUUCUCAUAGUGAAACUUGCAUGCCCCA